Molecule: ribosomal RNA, 370 nt
Filed under: uncultured eukaryote
Lineage: Eukaryota
Description: partial 18S ribosomal RNA
Rfam family: Eukaryotic small subunit ribosomal RNA
Source: RNAcentral
CAAUAGCGUAUAUUAAAGUUGUUGCAGUUAAAAAGCUCGUAGUUGGACCUUGGACCUGGACAGGCGGUCCGCCUCACGGCGUGUACUGUCUUGCUGGGUCUUUCCUCUUGGUGAUCUGUUGUUUCGGCAGCAGGGAACCAGGACUUUUACUUUGAAAAAAUUAGAGUGUUCAAAGCAGGCUCGACGCCGGAAUAUAUUAGCAUGGAAUAAUAAAAUAGGACGUGCGGUUCUAUUUUGUUGGUUUUUGGAAUCGCCGUAACGAUUAAUAGGGACAGUCGGGGGCAUUAGUACUCACAUGCUAGAGGUGAAAUUCUUGGAUUUUGUGAAGACUAACUUCUGCGAAAGCAUUUGCCAAGGAUGUUUUCAUUAA